GAUGAACGCUGGCGGCGUGCCUAAUACAUGCAAGUCGAGCGAACAGACGAGGAGCUUGCUCCUCUGACGUUAGCGGCGGACGGGUGAGUAACACGUGGAUAACCUACCUAUAAGACUGGGAUAACUUCGGGAAACCGGAGCUAAUACCGGAUAAUAUAUUGAACCGCAUGGUUCAAUAGUGAAAGACGGUUUUGCUGUCACUUAUAGAUGGAUCCGCGCCGCAUUAGCUAGUUGGUAAGGUAACGGCUUACCAAGGCAACGAUGCGUAGCCGACCUGAGAGGGUGAUCGGCCACACGGGAACUGAAACACGGUCCAGACUCCUACGGGAGGCAGCAGUAGGGAAUCUUACGCAAUGGGCGAAAGCCUGACGGAGCAACGCGGCGUGAGUGAUGAAGGUCUUCGGAUCGUAAAACUCUGUUAUUAGGGAAGAACAAAUGUGUAAGUAACUAUGCACGUCUUGACGGUACCUAAUCAGAAAGCCACGGCUAACUACGUG
Molecule: ribosomal RNA, 497 nt
Filed under: uncultured bacterium
Lineage: Bacteria
Description: partial 16S ribosomal RNA
Rfam family: Bacterial small subunit ribosomal RNA
Source: RNAcentral